GAAAGCACUUGGCAAGACCUAGCCCGGGCUCUCCUCUCCCUCGAUUCUUCUCGCGCCGCCAUCCUUGUUCUGCCUCCGAGUCUCCUCCGAGCCCCUCCUCUUCCCCGUGCCGCCGGCCUCCUCCUUUGCGUAUCUCCUCGCCGGUCGUCGCUGCAAGUCUGCGCCUCCCCACGGCCCAGACAGCAAGGCGGGCGGGCGGCGCCGCGAGGUCUCGUCCCGAGGAAGCCGCAGUAGGACGAGAACAAUCCGGACGAGGUCGAUGAGGUCGUGGGCGCCUCCUCCGCUCCGGGAUCGAACGGGCUGGUGGACAGCUGCGCGACUCUACGCCCUCCUCGACCGAGAGCCGCCGCCGUCAACAUUGUGCAGGCGCGGUUGUAGUGGCCGGACAAGAUGAAGAGAAGCUGCAGCGGCCAGCUGCAGGUGGCCUCGCCGGAAGAGAGCGCCGAUGGCCGUGGACGACACAGAGCCCUCUUCUUCGCCAGCACUAGCGGCGUCAGGGGCGGUGAAGGCCAGUAGCUCUAUCAUGGCUUGCAAGAGGAACGACAGAAAAAUCCUAUUUCAUUGAUAGUUAUAGUUGGCAGUCCAGUGAUUCCAGUUUAUUUCUCUGAUUUAAUGCAGGUAGGGCUGCAAACGAGUUGAGCUUGAGCGAGUUGGAGUUUGCUCAGCUCAACUCAUAUGAAAAUUCGAGCGAGCUCAAACUGAAUGAAGCUCAUGAUCGAGCUGUAGAACAUGACUCGUGCUUAGCUUGUAACGAUCUCGAGCUAGUUUCGAGAUAAAUGAGAUGGUAAAAAAGUUAUAAAUC
Long non-coding RNA from Triticum aestivum (bread wheat), 802 nucleotides. RefSeq lists it as uncharacterized. Lineage: Eukaryota; Viridiplantae; Streptophyta; Magnoliopsida; Poales; Poaceae. The transcript has 2 exons. The record is from RefSeq and is a predicted model, not a curated record.